GAUGAACGCUGACAGAAUGCUUAACACAUGCAAGUCUACUUGAAUUUGGGUUUUUUAACUUAGAUUUGGGUGGCGGACGGGUGAGUAACGCGUAAAGAACUUGCCUCACAGCUAGGGACAACAUUUGGAAACGAAUGCUAAUACCUGAUAUUAUGAUUAUAAGGCAUCUUAGAAUUAUGAAAGCUAUAUGCGCUGUGAGAGAGCUUUGCGUCCCAUUAGCUAGUUGGAGAGGUAACGGCUCACCAAGGCGAUGAUGGGUAGCCGGCCUGAGAGGGUGAACGGCCACAAGGGGACUGAGACACGGCCCUUACGCCUACGGGAGGCAGCAGUGGGGAAUAUUGGACAAUGGACCAAGAGUCUGAUCCAGCAAUUCUGUGUGCACGAUGACGUUUUUCGGAAUGUAAAGUGCUUUCAGUUGGGAAGAAAAAAAUGACGGUACCAACAGAAGAAGUGACGGCUAAAUACGUG
This 468-nucleotide ribosomal RNA is filed under the name uncultured bacterium. RNAcentral describes it as "partial 16S ribosomal RNA". It matches the Rfam family "Bacterial small subunit ribosomal RNA", at positions 28 to 507 of the family's 1533-position model. The record is from RNAcentral.